GAGUUUGAUCCUGGCUCAGAUUGAACGCUGGCGGCAGGCCUAACACAUGCAAGUCGAGCGGUAGAGAGAAGCUUGCUUCUCUUGAGAGCGGCGGACGGGUGAGUAAUGCCUAGGAAUCUGCCUGGUAGUGGGGGAUAACGUUCGGAAACGGACGCUAAUACCGCAUACGUCCUACGGGAGAAAGCAGGGGACCUUCGGGCCUUGCGCUAUCAGAUGAGCCUAGGUCGGAUUAGCUAGUUGGUGAGGUAAUGGCUCACCAAGGCGACGAUCCGUAACUGGUCUGAGAGGAUGAUCAGUCACACUGGAACUGAGACACGGUCCAGACUCCUACGGGAGGCAGCAGUGGGGAAUAUUGGACAAUGGGCGAAAGCCUGAUCCAGCCAUGCCGCGUGUGUGAAGAAGGUCUUCGGAUUGUAAAGCACUUUAAGUUGGGAGGAAGGGUUGUAGAUUAAUACUCUGCAAUUUUGACGUUACCGACAGAAUAAGCACCGGCUAACUCUGUGCCAGCAGCCGCGGUAAUACAGAGGGUGCAAGCGUUAAUCGGAAUUACUGGGCGUAAAGCGCGCGUAGGUGGUUUGUUAAGUUGGAUGUGAAAUCCCCGGGCUCAACCUGGGAACUGCAUUCAAAACUGACUGACUAGAG
RNAcentral lists this ribosomal RNA (642 nucleotides) under uncultured Pseudomonas sp. RNAcentral describes it as "bacterial SSU rRNA". It matches the Rfam family "Bacterial small subunit ribosomal RNA", at positions 9 to 646 of the family's 1533-position model. The record is from RNAcentral. Lineage: Bacteria; Pseudomonadati; Pseudomonadota; Gammaproteobacteria; Pseudomonadales; Pseudomonadaceae.